UUUUUUUAUAAAAAAAAUGAUAUUAAAUUAUUGAUAUAUUCCAACCCAUUUAAUUACAAAGAGGAUCAAAGGAUCCCAUGUGUGAAUAAGCUGCCUAAGGUUACAAAAUAUUAAUAUGAAACAACAUGAAUAUAAGGUAAUUAACCAGAGUAAUAAAAAAAGAAAUAGCUAACCCCAACAAGGCCAAGACCCCUCAAUUGUGAAAAUAGAGCAAUUACAAACGAGCUGACAUAGGGGCUCGAUCACAGUACAUGGUCUCGCAAAAAUCAUUGGCAUAAAAAUGAAUAGCCCAUCAGACUUUCAACCAGCAUCAUGUUAUGGAAAUAUACUCCACAUAUAUUCAAAAAGAAAUACCCCAGACAAGCUUCUAUAACAGAGAAAUAUCAUCUACGUGUUAUAUGAAAUAUGUAUGAACUGAUAUCAGCAGACAUAAUAUUU
Molecule: long non-coding RNA, 438 nt
Filed under: Glycine max (soybean)
Lineage: Eukaryota; Viridiplantae; Streptophyta; Magnoliopsida; Fabales; Fabaceae
Description: long non-coding RNA (GMAX_LNC001380)
Source: RNAcentral